Molecule: RNA transcript, 1615 nt
Organism: Cebus imitator (Panamanian white-faced capuchin)
Lineage: Eukaryota; Metazoa; Chordata; Mammalia; Primates; Cebidae
Gene name: peroxiredoxin-like 2A
Exons: 1
Source: RefSeq, a predicted model, not a curated record
AGGGGCGGGAGAAGGCCAGCAGGAGGGCGACACUGCGGAAAUGUCUUUCCUCCAGGACCCAAGUUUCUUCACCAUGGGGUUGUGGUCCAUUGGUGCGGGAGCCCUGGGGGCUGCUGCCUUGGCAUUGCUGCUGGCCAACACAGACAUGUUUCUGUCCAAGCCCCAGAAAACAGCACUGAAGUACCUGGAGGAUAUUGACCUGAAAGCACUAGAGAAUGAACCAAGGACUUUGAAAGCAAAGGAUCUAUGGGAAAAAAAUGGAGCUGUGAUUAUGGCUGUGCGGAGGCCAGGCUGUUUCCUCUGUCCAGACGAAGCUGCGGAUCUGUCCUCCCUGAAACCCAAGUUGGACGAGCUUGGUGGCCCCCUCUAUGCAGUGGUAAAGGAGCACAUCAAGACUGAAGUGAAGGAUUUCCAGCCUUAUUUCAAAGGAGAAAUCUUCCUGGAUGAAAAGAAAAAGUUCUAUGGUCCACAAAGGCAGAAGAUGAUGUUUAUGGGAUUUAUCCAUCUGGAAGUGUGGUACAACUUCUUCCAAGCCUGGAAUGGAGGCUUCUCUGGAAACCUGGAGGAGAAGUCUUCGUCCUCGGGGGAGUUUUUGUGGUGGGAUCAGGAAAGCAGGGCAUUCUUCUCGAGCACCGAGAAAAAGAAUUUGGAGACAAAGUAAACCUACUUUCUGUUCUGGAAGCUGCUAAGAUGAUCAAACCACAGACUUUGGCCUCAGAGAAAAAAAUGAUUGUGUGAAACUACCCAGCUCAGGGAUAACCAGGGGCAUUCACCUGUGUUCAUGGGAUGUGUUAUUUCCACUUGUGUCCCUCAGGAGUGAGAAACCCACUUAUACUCUAUUCUUAGUAUGGAUAAUUAAUGUAUUUUAAUACUCUGUUUAGGCCCAGUAAGGCAAAAUAGCCCCAAAACAAAACUGACAGAAAUCUAAAAAAGUAAUGAGAAUUAUUAAGCUAAAACCUGGAAAAUAUGAAACUUAAAAUUGACCGCUAGGCUGGGUGUGGGGGCUCAUGCCUAUAAUCCUAGCACUUUGGGAGGCCGAGGUGGGCAGGUCACUUGAGAUCAGGAGUUCAAGACCAGCUUGGGCAACUUGGCGAAACCCUGUCUCUACUAAAAAUAAAAAAACCAGCCAGGCGUGGUGGCGUGCACCUGUAGUCCCAGCUACUCGGGAGGCUGAGGUAGGAGAAUCACUUGAACCUGGGAGCUAGAGGUUGCAGUGAGCCAAGAUCAGGCCACUGCAAUCCAGCCUGGGUGACUGAGACUGCAUCUCAAAAAAAAAAAAAAAAAUUGCUGUGCCUGAUUACAAAUGUGUAUGGUGUUUGAGUGCUGCUGUUUGAAAUUUAUUUUUCUUUUCGGGUCUUCAAAAACCUAAGAAAAUGAUGAUUGACUUGAAGAUUACAGAAUUUAAGGUUUUUUGGCUUCUGUGUUUUCUGCCCUAUUUGAUUCAUAAUGUCAAAGUAAUACUUUCAUAAUAGAAUUGGCAUGCUCUGGGAUAGUUUGACAAAGGUAAAUUAUAAAGUGGAAUAUCUUGUUUCAUUGUCUUCCAUUCUAACCUCAGAGAUUUGUUUCUCUAGAAGAAAUGACCAUCUCUGGCUUUAAUAAAAUUAUGCAUCAGAAA